UGGGGAAUCUUGCACAAUGGAGGCAACUCUGAUGCAGCGACGCCGCGUGAGCGAUGAAGCCCUUCGGGUGUGAAAGCUCUUUCGGCAGGGACGAUAAUGACGGUACCUGAAGAAGAAGCUGCGGCUAACUACGUGCCAGCAGCCGCGGUAAUACGUAGGCAGCGAGCGUUGUUCGGAAUUACUGGGCGUAAAGAGUGUGUAGGCGGCUUGGCAAGUCGGAUGUGAAAGCCCGGGCUCAACCCGGGAAGUGCACUCGAUACUGCUGAGCUUGAGUGUCGGAGAGGUUGGUGGAAUUCUCGGUGUAGAGGUGAAAUUCGUAGAUAUCGAGAGGAACACCGGUUGGCGAAGGCGGCCAACUGGACGAACACUGACGCUGAGACACGAAAGCGUGGGGAGCAAAACA
This 403-nucleotide ribosomal RNA is filed under the name uncultured Pseudomonadota bacterium. RNAcentral describes it as "bacterial SSU rRNA". It matches the Rfam family "Bacterial small subunit ribosomal RNA", at positions 355 to 775 of the family's 1533-position model. Lineage: Bacteria; Pseudomonadati; Pseudomonadota. The record is from RNAcentral.